Triplophysa rosa is the source of this 494-nucleotide long non-coding RNA. RefSeq lists it as uncharacterized. The record is from RefSeq and is a predicted model, not a curated record. Lineage: Eukaryota; Metazoa; Chordata; Actinopteri; Cypriniformes; Nemacheilidae. The transcript has 4 exons.
AAGGACAUGAGACGUGUCGUCCCCGUGUGCAGGAUAAUUGUCACAUCUCCACUAAGCGUCUGUCAGUGUCAUGUUUGAUUCGUCGAGGAGGGUAGAAAUGACAUCGCUGUAGACCGCUCCACAGGGAUUAUGGGAUAGAUCUUCUGAAGCGGAUGGCUGCGUGCAGAUCCUGACUCCGCCACCAGCGUGUAACUGCUGUCCUCGGCUCUCCCUCGACCUCUGGCCUGCGGAGAAGAUGAACGUUCAUCAGAGACCUCAAAUUGUGUUGCUGCAGCUGGUCGAGUUUGUGCUCCACUUCUCCAUAUGUGAUGUCACAGUCCAGAUCAUCGUCUUCUGUGCCGCGCUGCCCCGGCGUGGUCGUGUCCAUGUGCCGUUUGGUUCCAUCUGCUAACCAUCCAGUGACAUUGUAUCCAGGAGAAGAAUAACUUCACACGCACCGUGUUCAUGUCGAUGCCGUUGGUGUAUGUCCACGAGUGUUGGAAGUACUCCUCCAG